UUAAGCGACUAAGCGUACACGGUGGAUGCCCUGGCAGUCAGAGGCGAUGAAGGACGUGCUAAUCUGCGAAAAGCGUCGGUAAGGUGAUAUGAACCGUUAUAACCGGCGAUGUCCGAAUGGGGAAACCCAGUGCAAUUCGUUGCACUAUCGUUAACUGAAUACAUAGGUUAACGAGGCGAACCGGGGGAACUGAAACAUCUAAGUACCCCGAGGAAAAGAAAUCAACCGAGAUUCCCCCAGUAGCGGCGAGCGAACGGGGAGCAGCCCAGAGUCUGAAUCAGCUUGUGUGUUAGUGGAACGGUCUGGAAAGUCCGACGGUACAGGGUGAUAGUCCCGUACACCAAAAUGCACAGGCUGUGAACUCGAAGAGUAGGGCGGGACACGUGGUAUCCUGUCUGAAUAUGGGGGGACCAUCCUCCAAGGCUAAAUACUCCUGACUGACCGAUAGUGAACCAGUACGUGAGGGAAAGGCGAAAAGAACCCCGGCGAGGGGAGUGAAAAAGAACCUGAAACCGUGUACGUACAAGCAGUGGGAGCACCUUCGGGUGUGACUGCGUACCUUUUGUAUAAUGGGUCAGCGACUUAUAUUCUGUAGCAAGGUUAACCGUAUAGGGGAGCCGCAGGGAAACCGAGUCUUAACUGGGCGUUAAGUUGCAGGGUAUAGACCCGAAACCCGGUGAUCUAGCCAUGGGCAGGUUGAAGGUUGGGUAACACUAACUGGAGGACCGAACCGACUAAUGUUGAAAAAUUAGCGGAUGACUUGUGGCUGGGGGUGAAAGGCCAAUCAAACCGGGAGAUAGCUGGUUCUCCCCGAAAGCUAUUUAGGUAGCGCCUCGUGAACUCAUCUUCGGGGGUAGAGCACUGUUUCGGCUAGGGGGUCAUCCCGACUUACCAACCCGAUGCAAACUACGAAUACCGAAGAAUGUUAUCACGGGAGACACACGGCGGGUGCUAACGUCCGUCGUGAAGAGGGAAACAACCCAGACCGCCAGCUAAGGUCCCAAAGUCAUGGUUAAGUGGGAAACGAUGUGGGAAGGCACAGACAGCCAGGAUGUUGGCUUAGAAGCAGCCAUCAUUUAAAGAAAGCGUAAUAGCUCACUGGUCGAGUCGGCCUGCGCGGAAGAUGUAACGGGGCUAAACCAUGCACCGAAGCUGCGGCAGCGACACUAUGUGUUGUUGGGUAGGGGAGCGUUCUGUAAGCCUGCGAAGGUGACCUGUGAGGGUUGCUGGAGGUAUCAGAAGUGCGAAUGCUGACAUAAGUAACGAUAAAGCGGGUGAAAAGCCCGCUCGCCGGAAGACCAAGGGUUCCUGUCCAACGUUAAUCGGGGCAGGGUGAGUCGACCCCUAAGGCGAGGCCGAAAGGCGUAGUCGAUGGGAAACAGGUUAAUAUUCCUGUACUUGGUGUUACUGCGAAGGGGGGACGGAGAAGGCUAUGUUAGCCGGGCGACGGUUGUCCCGGUUUAAGCAUGUAGGCUGGUUGUCCAGGCAAAUCCGGAUAAUCAAGGCUGAGGUGUGAUGACGAGGCACUACGGUGCUGAAGUAACAAAUGCCCUGCUUCCAGGAAAAGCCUCUAAGCAUCAGGUAACAUUAAAUCGUACCCCAAACCGACACAGGUGGUCAGGUAGAGAAUACCAAGGCGCUUGAGAGAACUCGGGUGAAGGAACUAGGCAAAAUGGUGCCGUAACUUCGGGAGAAGGCACGCUGGUGUGUAGGUGAAGUCCCUGCGGAUGGAGCUGAGACCAGUCGAAGAUACCAGCUGGCUGCAACUGUUUAUUAAAAACACAGCACUGUGCAAACACGAAAGUGGACGUAUACGGUGUGACGCCUGCCCGGUGCCGGAAGGUUAAUUGAUGGGGUUAUCCGUAAGGAGAAGCUCUUGAUCGAAGCCCCGGUAAACGGCGGCCGUAACUAUAACGGUCCUAAGGUAGCGAAAUUCCUUGUCGGGUAAGUUCCGACCUGCACGAAUGGCGUAAUGAUGGCCAGGCUGUCUCCACCCGAGACUCAGUGAAAUUGAACUCGCUGUGAAGAUGCAGUGUACCCGCGGCAAGACGGAAAGACCCCGUGAACCUUUACUAUAGCUUGACACUGAACAUUGAGCCUUGAUGUGUAGGAUAGGUGGGAGGCUUUGAAGCGUGGACGCCAGUCUGCGUGGAGCCAACCUUGAAAUACCACCCUUUAAUGUUUGAUGUUCUAACGUUGGCCCCUUACCGGGGUUGCGGACAGUGUCUGGUGGGUAGUUUGACUGGGGCGGUCUCCUCCCAAAGCGUAACGGAGGAGCACGAAGGUUAGCUAAUCCUGGUCGGACAUCAGGAGGUUAGUGCAAUGGCAUAAGCUAGCUUGACUGCGAGCGUGACGGCGCGAGCAGGUGCGAAAGCAGGUCAUAGUGAUCCGGUGGUUCUGAAUGGAAGGGCCAUCGCUCAACGGAUAAAAGGUACUCCGGGGAUAACAGGCUGAUACCGCCCAAGAGUUCAUAUCGACGGCGGUGUUUGGCACCUCGAUGUCGGCUCAUCACAUCCUGGGGCUGAAGUAGGUCCCAAGGGUAUGGCUGUUCGCCAUUUAAAGUGGUACGCGAGCUGGGUUUAGAACGUCGUGAGACAGUUCGGUCCCUAUCUGCCGUGGGCGCUGGAGAAUUGAGGGGGGCUGCUCCUAGUACGAGAGGACCGGAGUGGACGCAUCACUGGUGUUCGGGUUGUCAUGCCAAUGGCACUGCCCGGUAGCUAAAUGCGGAAGAGAUAAGUGCUGAAAGCAUCUAAGCACGAAACUUGCCCCGAGAUGAGUUCUCCCUGAGACUUUAAGUCUCCUGAAGGAACGUUAAAGACGAUGACGUUGAUAGGCCGGGUGUGUAAGCGCAGCGAUGCGUUGAGCUAACCGGUACUAAUGAACCGUGAGGCUUAACCUU
RNAcentral lists this ribosomal RNA (2899 nucleotides) under Klebsiella pneumoniae. RNAcentral's name for it is "bacterial LSU rRNA". It matches the Rfam family "Bacterial large subunit ribosomal RNA". Lineage: Bacteria; Pseudomonadati; Pseudomonadota; Gammaproteobacteria; Enterobacterales; Enterobacteriaceae. The record is from RNAcentral.